This 406-nucleotide ribosomal RNA is filed under the name uncultured bacterium. Its description in RNAcentral is "partial 16S ribosomal RNA". It matches the Rfam family "Bacterial small subunit ribosomal RNA", at positions 30 to 526 of the family's 1533-position model. The record is from RNAcentral.
AUUGAACGCUGGCGGCAGGCCUAACACAUGCAAGUCGAACGAGUGGCGGACGGGUGAGUAAUGUCUGGGAAACUGCCUGAUGGAGGGGGAUAACUACUGGAAACGGUAGCUAAUACCGCAUACCCUCAGAUUUUCCCAGAUGGGCUUAGCUUGUUGGUGGGGUAACGGCUCACCAAGGCGACGAUCCCUAGCUGGUCUGAGAGGAUGACCAGCCACACUGGAACUGAGACACGGUCCAGACUCCUACGGGAGGCAGCAGUGGGGAAUAUUGCACAAGGGGCGCAAGCCGGAUACAGCCAUGCCGCGUGUAUGAAGAAGGCCUUCGGGUUGUAAAGUACUUUCAGCGGGGAGGCGUUAACCGCAGAAGAAGCACCGGCUAACUCCGUGCCAGCAGCCGCGGUAAUAC